Gopherus flavomarginatus (Mexican gopher tortoise) is the source of this 3515-nucleotide long non-coding RNA. RefSeq lists it as uncharacterized. The record is from RefSeq and is a predicted model, not a curated record. NCBI's taxonomy places the organism in Eukaryota, Metazoa, Chordata, Testudines, Testudinidae. The transcript has 3 exons.
UUUCCUUGCCGGAAAAAAAAAAAUUAAAGGGGAAGAAGGAAAUGCAUUAUUUAAAAAAAAGAGUCAUCCCACAGGAGGAUCGAGUGUAUUUUUUGUCUUUUUGUCAGUAUAUUACAAUAUAAUAUAAACUGCAGCAAGCAGGGAAGUUUCAGGAGUUGCAGGGUACGGCAGUUUUGCAACCUAGCUUAAAGUGGGGCGGGCAUGUGCAGGAUCCGAUUAGAAACAGAGGAGGAAAGAGGUUUAAAAGAAACUGGGGCUGCAAAUCGUGCAUACGGUGCGAGAGGCAGACACGAGGGGUAGCUUAACUUUACGCUCCUCGGAAACGUCAGUCUACGUGAAGAAAGUGCAUGAUGGAUGCUAUGUUAACCAAUGAAGGUAUCUGUUCUCUCACAGCUGGGAUGCUUCACUUUCAAAGCACUUGAAAAAUGGUCCUCAAAGCAGGAAUAGGUAAACCAAGGAAAAACAAGCAAGAGAGUGGACAUGGAACCAACUUAUCAAUCAGUUUGAACUGGACCCAACAGCUGACCAGGGACCUACUUGGAGACUGGGGAAGCCACAGAGCAUCUGGAGGACUCACUGUGAUGUCAACAAUUUAACAUUUCUCUGACACCGGAUAUCUUAGUUCAUUCUGUUGUGCAAGACAAAGAGUCCAGGAAAUUCAACGGUUGCACAUUGAAAUAAACAAUAUUUUUGGGGAAAACUUAAGAAGCUGGGGCCAGAAGACUUCAGGUUCAAAUACAGCAUUUGGACAGGCUGUAGACUUUGCACAGCUGCAGUCUUAAUACACUGUAAUAAAUAUGCACACUUCCCAAGUGGCACACACUUAUGCAGACACUCUGAUACCAUAGUGAAGAGAAGACACAACGGCUGAUCCUUCAGGUCAUAAAGGCAGUAAUCAGAGACCUUCCAAUGCUCAAGCAACAAGAAAGAUCCUGAUCUGAUCACAAAGACUCAUGGAUUCCAAUAAGUUUGAAAGCCUGCUAAAGUACAGCAGCACCCCAUCCACAGGAUAAGGAGUUGAGAACCUGGUGAAUCAUUACCAUUCUACACUAGCCUCGGACAUUGACACGUUGUCCCCCAAACUGCCCCUUUCUCCUCAUUGCUCCUUGGUUUUCUGACACCCUAUACUGGAUGAAGAGAGAGAGAGUUAGAAACUCAAGCAUCAGUGGUGGAAAACAGAGGUUGAUUCAGACAGCAUGAAACAUAAUGGAUUCCUCAAAGCCUAUGCUGAAGCUGUAUUACAGGCCAAGAGAACUUUCCUAUCAGCCUCCACCAAGGCUGCCAAAUCCCACCCAAGAAGCUAUCUGGGGAGUAAAUUGCUCCAGCAAUCCUGAGUGCCUACAACAUGCAUCAUCCUACUUGAAAGAUCAUGCACAUCCAGGAACUCUUCUGAACACCCUAAAAGAGUCCCAAUCCAAGACUUAUGAAUCUGACCCAUGCCCUUCCUGGCUUGUGAAAGAGUCAUGAACAACUUAUGCCACUCCUGACCAAAAUAGCCGAUGCCUUAUUCAGAUAAGGAAUCUUCCCUUUCUUCUUCAAACACUGAAGAAACUCUCUCCUAGAUAUUUUACUCCUAGCCAGCUAUUUCCCAGUGUCAAACCUGUCAUUCUUGAGCAAGCACAUAGAGAAUCUACCCAAAGGCCAACUACAAGCUCAUCUAACUGAAAACAACAUCUGAGACUCAACACAAUCUGGAUUCUGGACAGGAUAGGGGUCUGCUUUAGUGGCACUGAUGGAUGAUUUUCUCCUGCCAUUGGAUAGAGGACAGACUUGCAUUUUUUACCCUCAUGGACCUUUCUGCAGCAUUAUACCACUGUCUCACCUGAGAGAAGUGGCAGGAGUCUAGAAUAAUGCACUAAAAUGGUUUGAGUCCUUCCUGAGGUGGAGAGGGACACACAAAGAAUAAUGAUGGAAACUUCACGUCUGCCACUAGACCCCUGAAACUGUGAGGUUCCACAAGGAUUAAUUUUCUCUCUGGUCCUUUUCAUCAUGUACAUGCAACCACUAGAUGAAUUGGUCAGAUGACAUGGACUCAAGUGCCAAUAAUAUGCAGGUGACACACAGCACUACUUAUCCUUCAUCACAUACAGACAGACCACUACCAGCCCAGUGCUUGGAUGAGAUCAACUCAUGGAUGAAGAGAAGCUGUCUGAAGGUGAACCUGAGCAAAAGAGAGGUGAUGCUGGUGGGCAGAUGAAAGUAUUUUGAGGAGUUUUCAGUGACAGUGCAGUCUCCUUUGAGUGAAGGUUCACAUCCACAGUCAGUCAAUUCAGUCCGUAGUCUAGAAGUACUCUUGGAUUCCUCAUUGAUGUUCAGUUCUCACAUUGAGUAAUGCUAUCUACCAUCUCUGGUUGGCUAGGAGAGUCUGUCCCACAUUGGUGGAUGAAGAUCUGGCCUCAGUUAUUCAUGCCUUUGUCACCUCUCAGUUGGACUACAGCAACGUGUUAUAGCUGGGCAUGAAAUCUUCAGCAAUGAGGAAAUUCCAACUAGUACAAAAUGUUGCAGUAUGCUCCUCAGGAACAGAGGCUACUGUGAGCACAUCAAAUCUGUCUUCAGCUCUCUUCACUGGCUUCCUAUAGAAUUCCAAAUCAAGUUCAAGGCCUUGGUCCUUAUCUUCAAAGCGCUCCAUGGCCUGGGCCCAGGAUACUUAAGACUUUUUAAGGUUGUGGGACAAAGACUGUUGUUGACAACUUCACUCUUCUGAUGCAAUGGAAAUCUCAAUAAUAAGACUAAAACUCAUUUGUGUGGGAGACAGAACCUUCUCCAGAGGCGGUACAAGACUAUUGAAUGAACUCCCCCACCAGGAACUAAGGACUAUCACAAAUCUCACCACUUUCUGCUCCAAGUGGAAGGCUCAUUUAUUUGAACUUAUCUUCUCUAAUAUAAAUACACAGCAACAGAUAUAUAUAACUUACCAAAACAAAACACUCCACUCCAUGUGAUUCUUUCUCUGGUGAGAGGAUGUAUAGUCAUGGUGUUUAAUGUGCUCAUGGAAAGCACUCAGAUACUAUGGUAUUGAGCAUGGUAUAAAAAUGUAUAUAUAAUACAGGCUUAGGCUCCUAAGUCAUUUAGGCACUUUUGAAACACACCCUCUGCCUUUCUGUGUAAUUAAUCUAUCUGGAAGCACUCAUUUGUAUACUUAAAAAUAAUUGCUGUGUGCAUGGUCAGAUUCCAAACAGUCUUAAUUUUACCUAAUUGAAAUCAUUUUUUACCUUGAACCAGCAGAAGAUUACUCCUGUAGAAGACUAAUUAGAUGUCUAAUUUCUACUUUCAAAAGUCUAUUUUAUUCAGAUCAAUGUCUCAAAAAAUGUGCUUUAGAAUUAAAAUUGUUUCCUCUUUUUGUUUUGUUUUUUUAAAAAAGAAAUCUGUUUCACCUUCCUCCAAUUCUAAGGCUGCAAGGGUUUCCCUCAUACUUUUGGACAGAAGCCAACUGUAGAAAAUUUGAUCUGAAGAGGUGAAUUUAUGAGAAAAUUAUAUCAUCUGAAAAAAAGAGUAAUAAAUGAAAUAAUUCUGAA